This 240-nucleotide unclassified non-coding RNA is filed under the name soil metagenome. Its description in RNAcentral is "partial contains 5.8S ribosomal RNA, internal transcribed spacer 2, and large subunit ribosomal RNA". The record is from RNAcentral.
AAGACUAUAGACCUGCGGAGUACCUGCGGAAGGAUCAUUAACACAAACUGUGGUUGCGGAUGUGCACAUCGCCCUGCCUUCAAGCGGGGAUCAACGAUUGUUGCUGCUGCUCCACAUUUGGAUCCAUAUCCAUUUACCCCUGUGAACUGUUAAAGUCUUUCCAUUGUGAAAUUUAACACCGUGGAAUGUACUCUUGACUGAACACGAGAGUUUUGUUCUGCCGAAUGCCUGCUUGCGGGC